This is a non-coding RNA of Xyrichtys novacula (pearly razorfish), 1551 nucleotides long. The record is from the annotation of a GenBank genome assembly. Lineage: Eukaryota; Metazoa; Chordata; Actinopteri; Labriformes; Labridae.
CUUUACAGAUGAACUUGGCAUUAGGGAUGUAGCAGUAUAAAAAUUCGACCUCACGGUUAUCAUGAUCAAAGAAGGCAUGUUUUUCGAUAUUAUCACAGUAUUUUAAAAAUGUAUGCAGAGGCAUUUAUUACGACAUUUUUCAUGCUUUUAACUAGCGCUAAACAAGGCCUUAUUUUCAUCGUUCCAUCAUAUCGAGACAGGAUUCCUGUCUUCAACUAAGCGCUGCCCUAUUCCUACAAAACCCAAAAUAUGCCCAUACUUCAGACUCUGUCCUCUUAGAGGCCUGAUGGAUGUCUUGUCUCUUCCUUCUGCCGUGAUUCCAUUUCAAACUUAAAGGGAUAUUCCGGCGUAAAUUUAAUUUAGGGUUAAACACACCAUAACACAGAGUUAGACAUCCCCUCGAGAGAUGAAUGUUGCAGACUGCUUGCUUUUCUGGUUAUACCAACUUUAGUAGCAACCGCACGAUAGCAAUACACAGCAGUCUGAGGAGCCAUAAACAAACCUCAACCAAAACGCCACUCUAUAACCACAAAUAAUGCUCAGAACAGCACCUUACUUCAUCAACAGGACAUAUAGGGUCCCAGCCAUAGUACUAGUCACCAAACAUCAUUUAGCUUUGCCUAAUUUCUUUAGUAAAGAGACUAAACAAAACUCACCUACUCUCCUCCAGCAGCCGCUUGUUUGUAGCGAGACCUCAGGCCAGUCCAUUAAGGACUGCUGCGGGGUGACGCAGCUCAAGGAAGAACAUUUAUGAUCAUUACUUUAUCAUUUCCUUUAAGUAAUAAUCAUCGUAAUAAUCAUUUUCACUGCAGACCCGGUAGUUCUUCUGCCUUAGCGUCUCAGUCUGAUUGCAUUUCCAUAAAGAAAUGAUCAUAAAUGUUCUUCAUUGAGCUGCGAAACUCCACUGUAGUCUGUAAUGAACUGGCCCUAGGUCUCGCUACAAAUAAGCAGCUGCUGCACGCGCCAAGUAUUAGCAUUAGCGAGUUAUUGUCGGCUGUCACACAGCUGAUUCAUUGCACACACACACCGGUUUUUGAAAUGAAAACGGUUAUCGUUCUCACGAUUUACCAUUACACAGGUUACCAUCACAUUCCUACUUGGCAUCGAGUCUUGUGUCUUUUUCCCACCAGAUUCAAACACCUCACUUUUCUUUUCACUUGCUCCUUUUUCCAUCCGUCUGCCCUGCCAGUAACUUUGCUGCUCUUCCUCUUUUUCUCUCACUGUCCUAAGCAACAAGCCUGACUGUUCAAUAACUCCUUAAAGAAAAGGAAGAACGAAGGGGGAAAAAAAAGAAAAGGACUCCUUGGCUCUUCAGGUGUUUGUCUUCAGCCCGUCUCCUUUCAUCAGUCAUGCCAGGAAAGGAAACAAAAAUAGAACAAUCGAUCGUCAGACACUUCCUUAAGAGCUAAAGGGCUUAACCUUCAGUAAUGGCUUUUUAACUGGUUAUGAAAGGGCCUGAAUUUAACACUGAUGCCUCUUUAUGACCUACAAAAUAAAAACAGACCAUCAGUGUGAGGACUGGCUGAAUCUACUGAGGAAAUGCAACGCCAU